CAGCCGCCGCGGUAAUACGAAGGGGGCUAGCGUUGCUCGGAAUGACUGGGCGUAAAGGGCGCGUAGGCGGAUGGCACAGUCAGAUGUGAAAUUCCCGGGCUUAACCUGGGGGCUGCAUUUGAUACGUGUUGUCUAGAGUGAGGAAGAGGGUCGUGGAAUUCCCAGUGUAGAGGUGAAAUUCGUAGAUAUUGGGAAGAACACCGGUGGCGAAGGCGGCGACCUGGUCCUUUACUGACGCUGAGGCGCGAAAGCGUGAGGAGCAAACAGGAUUAGAGACCCCAGUAGUCCCUGUCUCUUAUAC
Molecule: ribosomal RNA, 301 nt
Filed under: uncultured bacterium
Lineage: Bacteria
Description: partial 16S ribosomal RNA
Rfam family: Bacterial small subunit ribosomal RNA
Source: RNAcentral